UGUCACGGACGCACCUCGAUCUUCCCGCGAUAUAAAAAGCCGAUGAUUCCGUCGACUCUGCCGUCGCGUUCUCAUCGAUUUACCGUUUCGACAUUUCGAGACUCGGGACAUUUCGUUAGACAAUUCGAUUCUCGCCUAUGAUUAUCUCCUGUUUGCUUCAAAAUCAACCUCCAAAUCAUCCCGAGAGAGUUGCCAAGAUUUUUAUGGCGCUUCCUGUUAGCGAAAUUCCCAUCGACAGAAUCGGAUUGGCAUGUAAGCUCAAGGAUUAUGUUGAGCAAACUAUAAAGCCGAAGGAGAGCGGAGCCUAAUGGAGGACCGCUGGGAAGGCGCUGGAAUUUUAAUCGGCGAAGCUGAUGCGAAUGUAGUUCGCAAUUAGACUCUCGAGGACACGGAGGAGAUUAUCAAAGGGAUUCCACGCGCCGAGGUCGAUCCACUUUGGACUCUCUUAGUCGCGCGAAAUAUGAUAAGCGCACAGAGGAAGCCACAUGAUCGCGCAGGUGGGCCUCGCCAUACUGAGGAAGCCCACGAUCCACAGGAAC
Dinoponera quadriceps is the source of this 539-nucleotide long non-coding RNA. RefSeq lists it as uncharacterized. Lineage: Eukaryota; Metazoa; Arthropoda; Insecta; Hymenoptera; Formicidae. The transcript is spliced from 3 exons. The record is from RefSeq and is a predicted model, not a curated record.